AUAAGCCUCCACAGCUCAAGUGGCAGAGCGGGGGAUCAAACCCGGUUCUCCAGAUUAGAGUGCACCCGCUCUUAACCACUACACUGCUGCUGCUCCAAGACAAACCAUGUGGCUGAGCCUCCAGUCCCUCCUAACUUUGCCCAGGACACUGAAGUUGGACUCUCUAAAGUUUUUGACUUUUGCGCAUCAUCAGCGCAAGCUCUGAACGAUCUCCUGUUGUGUUGUCCACAGACCAGUUGUGCCCCCGUACGCCGUCUCUGCAGACUACAGCUGUAAUAAACCUGCCUACCUUUAUGUCCCUAGCCCGGUGGUGGACAAUCGCGGCUCAAUGCGAGAAUGUAUCAAGAACCGCGGAAGCAUGAUCAUUGAUUUGAGCCACACCACAGCAUCCGGCCCUUUGUGGGAUCAGAAAUGGAUCAACUACGUCAAGGUGGUAAACUCCGUCAAACCCUGGAGAACGGCAGGCAAGCCGUUUGUGUGUGACCGACACUGGCUCUGGACCAGCUAAAAGCAAGAGGAAGGAACGGGAGGGCCAAUGGCUAUGGCGUUCUGUGCUCAAUGAAACAACUCACAGUAAACGAGACGAGACCACUCCUCUGGAUUCAGCUGACUCUGACGUGUCUCUUUGGGGCUUUCCGCACUGACAGAGUUGUACUGGUUUCUAUCUAGGUUCACCUCAGUGUAUCCGCACUGCAACUGAGCUCAACGUUGUUUUGUCUCAGUUCCCCC
Molecule: long non-coding RNA, 729 nt
Organism: Sphaerodactylus townsendi
Lineage: Eukaryota; Metazoa; Chordata; Lepidosauria; Squamata; Sphaerodactylidae
Exons: 4
Source: RefSeq, a predicted model, not a curated record